Molecule: microRNA precursor, 90 nt
Organism: Pongo abelii (Sumatran orangutan)
Lineage: Eukaryota; Metazoa; Chordata; Mammalia; Primates; Hominidae
Gene: MIR422A
Product: microRNA 422a
Source: Ensembl
GAGAGAAGCACUGGACUGAGGGUCAGAAGGCCUGAGUGUCUCUGCUGCAGAUGGGCUCUCUGUCCCUGAGCCAAGCUUUGUCCUCCCUGG